Molecule: microRNA, 21 nt
Filed under: Gallus gallus (chicken)
Lineage: Eukaryota; Metazoa; Chordata; Aves; Galliformes; Phasianidae
Description: gga-miR-6577-3p
Source: miRBase by way of RNAcentral
AGAGACUGGGUAUAGGAGGGU